CCUACGGGAGGCAGCAGUGAGGAAUAUUGGUCAAUGGGCGCUAGCCUGAACCAGCCAAGUAGCGUGAAGGAUGACGGCCCUAUGGGUUGUAAACUUCUUUUAUAUGGGAAUAAAGUGCAGUAUGUAUACUGCGUUGCAUGUACCUUAUGAAAAAAGAUCGGCUAACUCCGUGCCAGCAGCCGCGGUAAUACGGAGGAUGCGAGCGUUAUCCGGAUGUAUUGGGUUUAAAGGGGGCGUAGGCGGGUUGUUAAGUCAGUUGUGAAAGUUUGCGGCUCAACCGUAAAAUUGCAGUUGAUACUGGCAUCCUUGAGUACAGUAGAGGUAGGCGGAAUUCGUGGUGUAGCGGUGAAAUGCUUAGAUAUCACGAAGAACUCCGAUUGCGAAGGCAGCUUGCUGGACUGUAACUGACGCUGAUGCUCGAAAGUGUGGGUAUCAAACAGGAUUAGAUACCCCUGUAGUC
RNAcentral lists this ribosomal RNA (460 nucleotides) under uncultured bacterium. RNAcentral's name for it is "partial 16S ribosomal RNA". It matches the Rfam family "Bacterial small subunit ribosomal RNA", at positions 338 to 795 of the family's 1533-position model. The record is from RNAcentral.